RNAcentral lists this ribosomal RNA (492 nucleotides) under uncultured bacterium. RNAcentral's name for it is "partial 16S ribosomal RNA". It matches the Rfam family "Bacterial small subunit ribosomal RNA", at positions 29 to 507 of the family's 1533-position model. The record is from RNAcentral.
AGUGAACGCUGGCGGUAGGCCUAACACAUGCAAGUCGAACGGCAGCACAGUAAGAGCUUGCUCUUACGGGUGGCGAGUGGCGGACGGGUGAGGAAUACAUCGGAAUCUACUUUUUCGUGGGGGAUAACGUAGGGAAACUUACGCUAAUACCGCAUACGACCUACGGGUGAAAGCAGGGGAUCUUCGGACCUUGCGCGAUUGAAUGAGCCGAUGUCGGAUUAGCUAGUUGGCGGGGUAAAGGCCCACCAAGGCGACGAUCCGUAGCUGGUCUGAGAGGAUGAUCAGCCACACUGGAACUGAGACACGGUCCAGACUCCUACGGGAGGCAGCAGUGGGGAAUAUUAGACAAUGGGCGCAAGCCUGAUCCAGCCAUACCGCGUGGGUGAAGAAGGCCUUCGGGUUGUAAAACCCUUUUGUUGGGAAAGAAAAGCAGCAGGUUAAUACCCCGCUGUUCUGACGGUACCCAAAGAAUAAGCACCGGCUAACUUCGUG